This 438-nucleotide ribosomal RNA is filed under the name uncultured marine eukaryote. Its description in RNAcentral is "partial 18S ribosomal RNA". It matches the Rfam family "Eukaryotic small subunit ribosomal RNA", at positions 124 to 566 of the family's 1831-position model. The record is from RNAcentral.
UGUCGUUGUUGUUACUUGGAUAUCCAUGGUAAUUCUAGAGCUAAUACAUGCGUCCAGACCCGACUUUUGCGAAAGGGUUGGGCUUAUAAAACCCUGCCCCACCCCGGGUUCCCCGGUUUCAAGUUGAUUGAUGGAAAUCAAACGAAUCGCAUGCUUCGGCGGCAAAAAUUCAUUCAAUUUUCUAACCUAUCACCUUCCAACGGUAGGUUUUGGGCCAACCGGGCCUUUGACGGGUAACGGAAAAUUAGGGUUUGAUUCCGGAAAGGGAGCCGGAAAAACGGUUACCCCAUCUAGGGAAGGGGACGGGGGGGCAAAUAACCCAACCCGGAGACAGGAAGGUAUUGACAAAAAAAACCAAAAUAAGGCUUUUUGUCUUGUAAUUGGAAUGAAAACAAUUUAAUCCCCUAGCCGAGUAUCAGUUGGAGGGCAAGUCUGGAU